Molecule: ribosomal RNA, 468 nt
Filed under: uncultured bacterium
Lineage: Bacteria
Description: partial 16S ribosomal RNA
Rfam family: Bacterial small subunit ribosomal RNA
Source: RNAcentral
GACGAACGCUGGCGGCGUGCUUAACACAUGCAAGUCGAACGGAAAGGCGCUGCGCUUGCUGGGUGCUCGUGUGGCGAACGGGUGUGUAACACGCGUGUAUCCCGCCCCUGUCUGUGGGAUAAAUUUAGGAAACUGGGGCGAUUACCGGAUAGGAGCUCUUGCUCCAUGGUGGGGGUUGGAAAGUUACGGCGUUUGUGGCUGGACUCGCGGCUUAUCAGCUUGAUGGUGGGGUAGUGGCUUACCAAGGCUUUGACGGGUAGCCGGCCUGAGAGGGUGACCGGCCACAAUGGGACUGAGAUACGGAGCAGAAUCCUACGGGAGGCAGUAGUGGGGAACAUUGCACAGUGGGGGGAAGCCUGAGACAACAACGUCGCGUGCGGGAUAAUGUGCUUCGGGUUGUGAACCGAUUUGGCCUGUGAUGAAGAGUGAGUGACGGUAAUGGGUAAAGAAGCACCGGCUAACUACGUG